Molecule: ribosomal RNA, 400 nt
Filed under: uncultured bacterium
Lineage: Bacteria
Description: bacterial SSU rRNA
Rfam family: Bacterial small subunit ribosomal RNA
Source: RNAcentral
GGGGAAUAUUGGACAAUGGGCGAAAGCCUGAUCCAGCCAUGCCGCGUGAGUGAUGAAGGCCUUAGGGUUGUAAAGCUCUUUCAGUGGGGAAGAUAAUGACGGUACCCACAGAAGAAGCCCCGGCUAACUUCGUGCCAGCAGCCGCGGUAAUACGAAGGGGGCUAGCGUUGUUCGGAUUUACUGGGCGUAAAGCGCACGUAGGCGGAUCGUUAAGUUAGGGGUGAAAUCCUGGAGCUCAACUCCAGAACUGCCUUUAAUACUGGCAAUCUCGAGUCCGGAAGAGGUAAGUGGAACUCCUAGUGUAGAGGUGGAAUUCGUAGAUAUUAGGAAGAACACCAGUGGCGAAGGCGGCUUACUGGUCCGGUACUGACGCUGAGGUGCGAAAGCGUGGGGAGCAAAC